AGAGUUUGAUCCUGGCUCAGGAUUAACGCUAGCGGCAGGCCUAAUACAUGCAAGUCGAACGGGAUUUCGGGUAGCAAUAUCUGAAUGAGAGUGGCGCACGGGUGCGUAACGCGUAUGCAAUCUACCUUUAACUGGGGAAUAGCCCUCCGAAAGGAGGAUUAACACCGCAUAAUACUAUGAUGGGGCAUCUCAAUGUAGUCAAAACUCAGGUGGUUAAAGAUGAGCAUGCGUCCGAUUAGCUAGUUGGUGAGGUAAUGGCUCACCAAGGCGACGAUCGGUAGGGGGUCUGAGAGGAUGAUCCCCCACACUGGUACUGAGACACGGACCAGACUCCUACGGGAGGCAGCAGUAAGGAAUAUUGGACAAUGGGCGCAAGCCUGAUCCAGCUAUGCCGCGUGAAGGAUGACGGCCCUAUGGGUUGUAAACUUCUUUUAGCAGGGAAAAAACCCCUCGAUGCGUUGAGGGCUGAUGGUACCUGCAGAAUAAGGAUCGGCUAACUCCGUGCCAGCAGCCGCGGUAAUACGGAGGAUCCAAGCGUUAUCCGGAUUUAUUGGGUUUAAAGGGUGCGUAGGCGAAUAAAUAAGUCAGUGGUGAAAGCCUGCAGCUUAACUGUAGAAUUGCCAUUGAUACUGUUUAUCUUGAAUGUAGUUGAGGUGGGCGGAAUAUGACAUGUAGUGGUGAAAUACUUAGAUAUGUCAUAGAACACCGAUUGCGAAGGCAGCUCACUAAGCUACGAUUGACGCUGAGGCACGAAAGCGUGGGGAGCAAACAGGAUUAGAUACCCUGGUAGUCC
Molecule: ribosomal RNA, 793 nt
Filed under: uncultured bacterium
Lineage: Bacteria
Description: bacterial SSU rRNA
Rfam family: Bacterial small subunit ribosomal RNA
Source: RNAcentral